This 2465-nucleotide long non-coding RNA is filed under the name Oreochromis niloticus (Nile tilapia). RNAcentral's name for it is "lncRNA (ENSONIG00000034585.1)". The record is from RNAcentral. Lineage: Eukaryota; Metazoa; Chordata; Actinopteri; Cichliformes; Cichlidae.
AUUUAAUACAUUAACAAAUUUUCUUUCCAACAGCUUUUGUUCAUGAGAUUCAAGCACAAGGUGAGUCAUCGAUGUUCCACUUUUCACAUAGAUUUUCUGUGACUGCGUAUUUGUUUUUUAUUUAAACCAAAAAUUACUUUCAGGUUCAUAAUAAUAGUCAUGAAACUGAGUAUUAAAUAUAACAGAACUGCUUUUAAUGUCACAUCAGAGUUCACCUGCUGAAGUUAAAGUGAGAUGUUUUUACACUGCAGAAAUAAAUUCAACGUCUGCUGACAGUGAACCAUCCUCCAUCACCAUACAAAGUGAGAGACUGCUCCUCCUGUGACUGGAUAAGUUAUCAUACAGUGUGUUAGACAUGUUUAUCUUUAUAAAGCUGCAGGUUUUCUUUGAGAAAAUCUUUUUAGGAGUGUUUUUCUUACAUAUUUUCUUACACCACCAAAGACAGCACACAGGAUUCUAAACGUGACCAGUUACAGUUAAUUAGAAAAUACAAUGACUGUUACAGCUCAGCUUUUAUGAGCAUUGUUUUUGUUGCACUGGUAAAACAUGCAAUAUUCUUGCAUAUUAAUGAGACUCCAUUGAUCUUCAUACAGGUCAGAAACCACAGAUGAGUGUGCAGCAUUUUAAUGGAGAACAAGUUCAGUUUGUUUGCUCUCUGCCUGGAUCUGUGAAAUACAAUACAAGAUGUAAUCUGUACUUUGGAGAAGCAAGUCGUCCAGUCCUGACAGCAACUGUCUGGAAGAAAAGCAGCACAGAAACCAAACAGAGGUUCUGCCAGUUUUAUGUCUCAAUUGAUGAUUUUUUGAGACAUCUACAUUUUGUUCAACAAAAAGAAGCCAGCUGUGAUUACACUUUGAAAAGGGAACCCAGGUCUUUGUCUCCUCGCAGUGAUCAAUACAACUUAACAGCUAUUCUGGAAAGUGAAUCACCAAAGAUCAACAAACCGCCAUCUAUCAUGACCACAGAUUCAAGUCUCAACAAACCCAGUGCUUCAACUUCUACCACUUCAGUGAACUCACUGUCAGGUACAGUGUUAUGGUACGGACAUACACCAAGAAACACCAUUUGGCAUUUCAUUCCCUUUACUUGGUUUGAAUAAUGUAAUAAAAAAAGAAGCAUGAAUUUCUUUACAGAGAAUAGCAGCAUAUGUGACAUUAUAGUAUUUAUUUGAUAUUGUUCUAUCUUAAAGGAUUUGCUGCUCUUAAUCUGAGCCCUACAACUGGUGUGAACACUCCUAUCAAAACAACUCAGUAUAAAACAUCAGGAGACAGUACCACAGGUGAGACCGAGUGCAUCGAUAAUGUCAAGAUAAAUUGAAAUGUCCUUGUUUUAUUUCAGCAGGACAGACACUGAUCUAUUGACCAUGCAUACAAUGAGUGUGAUUAAAUUCUCAGAAUGUUAAAAAAAAUCUCAACGUUCACUCUAAAAUUCUGAUGUUCAUCAGGAACAGUAAAUAUUCACCAUGUUCAGCAUCUUAAAUAAAUGGCAGUACUUUGUCACCAGUUGAUGUUGAAAUGAAGUUACUAAUUUUGCUGGCACUAACCUUUAGUCUCCAACACUGAUGCAAAUCACCAGAUGCAUUUUAUCUGGAGAUAUUUUGUGUGUUUAAUAUUCUUUAUUAUGAAUAUUCAUGAUCAUAGUUGUUUUUUUAAACUGUAGAUAUUUUGGGAAGAGAAUCAAGAAUGGCCAGUACAAAAGUGGCAUUUAGUCUGGCCACUGAUAGGACAUACAAUACAUUGAAAUACAGUCCAGAACAUCAUCACACACAACUUCUUUAAAGAAACUCAUUUUUUGUGCAUUUUUUGAAACCGAUUCUCGAGUUUCAGCAGUCCUAGUGUUUUCAGUCUUACCACGUCUGUGAAUUCAUCUUCAGGUAACUGCAUGGACAGUAAUAGUGUAAAAUAUCUUCUACAAAUAUAUUUCUACAUUAAUGCAAACCAACUCAAAAAAAAAAAAAAAGCAAACCGACACUCAGCAAUUGCAGUAUAUGUUAUUUAAAACUGAUUUUGCAAAAGCACUUUACCUAACAACCUUAGGCAGCUUUUUUAAAUUUUGAUCCAAAUAUUUUUUUUUCUAAACAGAUUCAUACAAGACUAGUGCUACAGUGACAGUUACUACAGUCAAAAGUAAGACAAAGUACAAUAAAAGAAUAACCAGAAUAUUAUAAAAGUCAUCUAUUUUAUUUUUUAUUUCAAAAGUACAUUUUUUUCACCAGGUCCAACUUUUACUUGGUGUCAUACUUCCACCCAUGCCACUGCUACCUCAGGUAUCUUUUUUUUUUUUUUUUUAAACAAAAUGGUAACAUACACUAUAUUACCAAAAGUGAAUCUUACUCAGAGCCUAUUGUUAGUCAGUGGUGCUAGUUUCAGUCAUUAUACAGAUGUACUGUUUAUAAGGUUGGGGAAACCUUUAUCACAGUAGAUGUCUUUCUGAAAGCGCUGUAACUAAGUUUAAGAAUAUAAUCC